Molecule: ribosomal RNA, 446 nt
Filed under: uncultured bacterium
Lineage: Bacteria
Description: partial 16S ribosomal RNA
Rfam family: Bacterial small subunit ribosomal RNA
Source: RNAcentral
CCUACGGGAGGCAGCAGUCGAGAAUCAUUCACAAUGGGGGAAACCCUGAUGGUGCGACGCCGCGUGGGGGAAUGAAGUUCUUCGGAUUGUAAACCCCUGUCAUGUGGGAGCAAAUUAAAAAGAUAGUACCACAAUAGGAAGAGACGGCUAACUCUGUGCCAGCAGCCGCGGUAAUACAGAGGUCUCAAGCGUUGUUCGGAAUCACUGGGCGUAAAGCGUGCGUAGGCUGUUUCGUAAGUCGUGUGUGAAAGGCGCGGGCUCAACCCGCGGACGGCACAUGAUACUGCGAGACUAGAGUAAGGGAGGGGGAACCGGAAUUCUCGGUGUAGCAGUGAAAUGCGUAGAUAUCGAGAGGAACACUCGUGGCGAAGGCGGGUUCCUGGACAUUAACUGACGCUGAGGCACGAAGGCCAGGGGAGCGAAAGGGAUUAGAUACCCCGGUAGUC